CCUACGGGUGGCUGCAGUGGGGAAUAUUGGACAAUGGGCGCAAGCCUGAUCCAGCAAUGCCGCGUGUGUGAAGAAGGCCUUCGGGUUGUAAAGCACUUUUAUCGGGAACGAAAAGCGCAGGGCUAAUACCCAUGCGUGCUGACGGUACCCGAGGAAUAAGCACCGGCUAACUUCGUGCCAGCAGCCGCGGUAAUACGAAGGGUGCAAGCGUUAAUCGGAAUUACUGGGCGUAAAGCGUGCGUAGGCGGUUUUCUAAGUCCGUUGUGAAAGCCCUG
RNAcentral lists this ribosomal RNA (275 nucleotides) under uncultured bacterium. RNAcentral's name for it is "partial 16S ribosomal RNA". It matches the Rfam family "Bacterial small subunit ribosomal RNA", at positions 338 to 605 of the family's 1533-position model. The record is from RNAcentral.